RNAcentral lists this ribosomal RNA (253 nucleotides) under uncultured bacterium. RNAcentral describes it as "partial 16S ribosomal RNA". It matches the Rfam family "Bacterial small subunit ribosomal RNA", at positions 524 to 776 of the family's 1533-position model. The record is from RNAcentral.
UACGGGGGGAGCAAGCGUUGUUCGGAAUUACUGGGCGUAAAGGGCUCGUAGGUGGCCAACUAAGUCGGACGUGAAAUCCCUCAGCUUAACUGGGGAACUGCGUCCGAUACUGGAUGGCUUGAGUUUGGGAGAGGGAUGCGGAAUUCCAGGUGUAGCGGUGAAAUGCGUAGAUAUCUGGAGGAACACCGGUGGCGAAGGCGGCAUCCUGGACCAACACUGACACUGAUGAGCGAAAGCCAGGGGAGCAAACGGG